GACGAACGCUGGCGGCGUGCCUAACACAUGCAAGUCGAGCGAGUUAAUCUCCUUCGGGAGUGAAGCUAGCGGCGGACGGGUGAGUAACACGUGGGCAACCUGCCUCAUAGAGGGGAAUAGCCUUCCGAAAGGAAGAUUAAUACCGCAUAAGAUUGUAGCUUCGCAUGAAGUAGCAAUUAAAGGAGCAAUCCGCUAUGAGAUGGGGCCCCGCGGCGCAUUAGCUAGUUGGUGAGGUAACGGCUCACCAAGGCGACGAUGCGUAGCCGACCUGAGAGGGUGAUCGGCCACGAUUGGGACUGAGACACGGCCCAGACUCCUACGGGAGGCAGCAGUGGGGAAUAUUGCACAAUGGGGGAAACCCUGAUGCAGCAACGCCGCGUGAGUGAUGACGGCC
This 394-nucleotide ribosomal RNA is filed under the name uncultured bacterium. RNAcentral's name for it is "bacterial SSU rRNA". It matches the Rfam family "Bacterial small subunit ribosomal RNA", at positions 28 to 416 of the family's 1533-position model. The record is from RNAcentral.